AUGCCGCCGCCCCAGCAGACGCCGGAGGAGGCUGCCCUGGCAGCGUACCAGGCGGCGUUCGGGUGGGCUGGCCCUGCUCCGGUCUUCAUCGACCUCACCGACGACGGCAGCGUCGAGGGCAAGGGCAAGGGCAAGGCCGACGACAGCUGGUACCCUGUUGCCAAGAUCGCGGCAGAAGCGGCGGCUCUAGAGUACGGGCGUGAAACUGGGCUCGACGUGGUGACACUAAACCCUGCAUUGGUGUUUGGUCCUCUGCUCCAGCCGACCGUCAAUGCGAGCAGCCAGUUCCUCAUCUACUUGCUCAAAGGAGGCCCUGAUCAGGUGAGGGACAAGCUCUGGCACAUCAUCGACGUCCGGGACGUCGCCGACGCGCUGCUCCUGCUCUACGAGACGCCCGGAGCCGCCGGCCGGCACAUCUGCGCGCCACACUUCAUCACCGUCCGGGAACUGUUGCGUCUGCUCAAGAGCAUGUACCCUGCGUACCCCUACAUAUCCGAGGAGGGCAUAUAUGACAUGGAUCACCCUGCUCCGAUGACCUCCGAAAAGCUGGAGAAGCUGGGGUGGAGCCACCGGCCGCUGAGGGAGACGAUAGCAGACACCGUCGAGUUCUGCCGGGAGGCCGGGUUUCUUGAGGGUGUCGAUGGUGAUGAUGCGCCCUGCCGCUUCCCACCUCUUUUCAACAAAAUCUAG
Molecule: ribosomal RNA, 690 nt
Filed under: Triticum aestivum (bread wheat)
Lineage: Eukaryota; Viridiplantae; Streptophyta; Magnoliopsida; Poales; Poaceae
Description: partial small subunit ribosomal RNA
Source: RNAcentral